GAAAUGAAUAUUUCGGGACCGUUAAAUGUAAAUAACAAAAAUAUAAACCAUUUUAAAGAUAACAUUGUAGAAAAUUAUCCAAUAUCCUCCUCUACCAUGUAUAGUGUAACAAAUAACAACCCGAAUAAUUCAUCACAUGGUUUUAAUAUUAACCAUAUAAAUUAUGUAAAUAACACACAAAAACAAAGUUAUAAUUCAAAGCUUAAUGCGUCAAAUAAUAUGUAUAAUAUGACGGAAAAACAAAAUUAUAUGUAUAAAGUUCCUCAAAAUAUAUCUAGACAAUAUGAUGAAAAGGGGAGUUUGAAUAAUAAUAGAAUUCAUAAAAUUAAAGAAAACAAAAGAAAAAUGGAACCAACUAUUAGUAUAAAUAACAUACCACUUAUUACACCUAUAAAUUACAAUAAUAAUAAUAAUAUACCAUUAAAUUUACAACAUGAUAACAAUAAUGCCCAAUUUAUUAAUAACCAACAGAAACCAAUGUAUUAUAAUGAUAGAAUGUAUAAUGGAGAUAAUUAUAAAAAUAUAAAAUAUGGGUAUGAUAAAAAUUUAAUACCAAAUGAUAAAAAAAUACAAAUCGUAAAGGAUCAAAACAAAGAGAUGAUACAUGUCACAAAUAAACAUAAAAAUGAAAAUUUAAUGAUUAAAACAGGGAGAGAAGAUAUUUUAUCAGAAAAUAUGUCAAACAUAUAUUAUAAUAAAAUGUCAAACGAACAACAACUGUAUUUAAAGGAAAUGCAAAAUAAUAAAAAUAUAUUAAACUUGGGAAGGAAUUCACAGGAUACUAGUGAGAACAAUAAAAUGUAUGAUACCCAUACAAAAGAAAAUAUGCAAAAUAGAAUAAGAGAUGUAAAAAAUGUAACAGAAAAAACCUGGCCAGUAAUGAUAGAAGGUACUAAACCAAUGGUUCCUAAUAUAACGAAAACAGUAGUAACAAAACCAGGAAUAUCUUCAGAUUUAGUAAAGUAUGGACAAUAUGAAAAAACUAUAAGCGAACAAAAUAAUCAUAGAGUUAUAAAUAAAACAGAAAAUAAUGAAAAAUGUUUUAUAUAUGAGAAAAAUAUUAGUGUACGAGGUAGAAAUGAAUUAAAAAGUGAUAUGCGUACUAAAAAUUCUUUUAAUAAAACAUAUGUAAAUAGUGUAUCUUAUACUAGUGCAAAAGCUAAUACAGGAUAUCGACAAUUUUUAAAAAAAAUGGAAGCAAAUAAAACAAAUGAUGUAAAACUUAAGCACAGUAUUUCUAUAGAUUUAGAUGAAAAUUCAUUAAAUUUAGAUGAGGGGUUAAGAACAUUUGAUAGUCCUAUAGUUGUUGAUAAAAACCAUAUGUUAAAAAAAUGGAAUGGUUAUAAUUGGGAGAAAUUAGAGAAUGGGUACAAUUUUUUUAUUAAAGCAAGGUAUGAUAAUGAAGGUAAUAUAUGGUUAUUAAAUAAUUCAUAUGAAAUAUUAAAAUUAAUAAAAAAUCGAUUUAAAAAAAUAGGUAACCUAGCUAAUGAAGAAAUUGUUGAUAUUGAUUUUGAUAAAAAAAAUAUAUUAUGGGCUGUUAAUCGUAAGGGUGAAUUAUUAAAAUGGAAUAAAAUACAAUGGAAGAAAAUAAAAUAUACACGGUUUCAUAGAGUAAUAUGUAUUGCGUUUGAUAAUAAAGGGAACUUAUGGGGUGUCAAUUCAGAAAGAGUAUUAGCAAUUUGGGACGUAACAAAAAAAAAAAAAAAAAAAAAAAAAAAAAAAAAAAACAACAACACAAUAACUAAAGAAGUGUUAAUAUGUAAGUAAAAAUAUGACCAAUACAAAUGGCUUAAAUUAUAUUUUUUUUUUUUAUUUUAUUUAUUUUUUUUUUUUUUUUUCUCUUUAAGGAUCCAGCAAGUGGAUGGAAUUGUUUUGUUUUAUUUUUACAUUUUUUUAGUAGUUUAUAAAAUGUUAAGUUUAAAGUGUAUAUAAUGUUUGUAUGUACGUAUACAUAUAUUCGUACAUAUUUCAUAUAAUUAAUAAUCUUUAAUUUUUUUGUUUUUAUUAUUAUUGAUAAGGGAUAUAAAACAUGAAAAAAAAUGAGCAAAUGAUGAGCAUACAUAUACAUAUAUUUAUGUGCACAUGCACAAUUGUACUUGAACGUUCACACUUGGACAUUGGCACUUGGACGUUCGAACGUUCACACUUGGACAUUGGCACUUGGACGUUCGAAUGUUCACACUUGGACAUUGGCACUUGGACGUUCGAACGUUCACUCUUGGAAGUUCGGAUAUUCACACUUGGAAGUUCGGAUAUUCACACUUGGAAGUUCACAUUUGGAUGCAUGUUCACAUGAUAAAAAUAAAUUAAAAGAUGUGGUUCUUCA
This is a long non-coding RNA of Piliocolobus tephrosceles (Ugandan red Colobus), 2326 nucleotides long. The record is from Ensembl. Lineage: Eukaryota; Metazoa; Chordata; Mammalia; Primates; Cercopithecidae.